CAGUAGCCGCGGUAAAACGUAGGGUGCGGGCGUUAAUCGGAAUUACUGGGCGUAAAGCGUGCGCAGGCGGUUUUGUAAGACAGGCGUGAAAUCCCCGGGCUCAACCUGGGAAUGGCGCUUGUGACUGCAAAGCUAGAGUGCGGCAGAGGGGGAUGGAAUUCCGCGUGUAGCAGUGAAAUGCGUAGAUAUGCGGAGGAACACCGAUGGCGAAGGCAAUCCCCUGGGCCUGCACUGACGCUCAUGCACGAAAGCGUGGGGAGCAAACAGGAUUAGAUACCCGCGUAGUCCCUGUCUCUUAUAC
Molecule: ribosomal RNA, 301 nt
Filed under: uncultured bacterium
Lineage: Bacteria
Description: partial 16S ribosomal RNA
Rfam family: Bacterial small subunit ribosomal RNA
Source: RNAcentral